This 245-nucleotide ribosomal RNA is filed under the name uncultured bacterium. RNAcentral describes it as "partial 16S ribosomal RNA". It matches the Rfam family "Bacterial small subunit ribosomal RNA", at positions 524 to 768 of the family's 1533-position model. The record is from RNAcentral.
UACGUAGGGUGCAAGCGUUGUUCGGAAUUACUGGGCGUAAAGGGAGCGUAGGCGGAGUUGUAAGUUAGGAGUUUAAUACAUAGGCUUAACCUGUGGCAUGCUCUUAAGACUGCAAUUCUUGAGUAUGGGAGAGGGUGAUGGAAUUCCAGGUGUAGCGGUGGAAUGCGUAGAUAUCUGGAAGAACACCAGAAGCGAAGGCGGUCGCCUGGCCCAAUACUGACGCUGAGGCUCGAAAGCUAGGGGAG